Molecule: long non-coding RNA, 1340 nt
Filed under: Canis lupus familiaris (dog)
Lineage: Eukaryota; Metazoa; Chordata; Mammalia; Carnivora; Canidae
Description: lncRNA (ENSCAFG00000047669.2)
Source: RNAcentral
UUUAUUUAUUUAUGAUAGACGGGGGGGGGGGGGCAGAGACACAGGCACAGGAGGAGGAGGGAGAAGCAGGCUCCAUGCCUGGAGCCCGACGUGGGACUGGAUCCCGGGACUCUAGGUUGGUGCCCUGGGCCAAAGGCAGGCGCUAAACUGCUGAGCCACCCAGGGAUCCUCGGGGUAUUUAGUUUUAUACAUGAUUCACAUCUACUUUAUUACUAUAAUAUUUCCCUUUGCAUUUCUUAAUGCUAAUCGCUUCUAUUUAGUUAUAUUUUCGUUUUCCUUUUUUAAACUCUUCAUUGAUAAUUAUCUGCUCUCUUGUGCUAGAUAAUAUUGAUACAUUUUGACUAAAAUAAAAAUCAACAUUAAUGAUGAUCAUAAUUGUGCUUAUUUUCCUUUGUAGGAAGAUGAUCAUUUUGACAGGAAAAGAUAAUCUCAACUCAAGUAUUCAAAAGAAAAAAGCAACUAAAUUUGGAAAAAUAGCACUUGGUGAUUCUUUCUACCUGUCUGACAAUUGCUUGAUAAUAUAAAAUAAAACAUACUGUGAAAUACUGAUCCACUAAAAAUUAUGAAUUCUGGCUGUUUAUAUAGUAGUUAAUUCAGGCAACCCAGAAAAGUAUUUCUAGUUGUUGUUGUUGUUGUUGUUGGUGUUGUUGUUGUUUUAACAAUAAUAGGAACAGAUUUUUGGAUUCAUUGUUUUCUGCAUUCGUAAUUUGGCUAAUCAAUGCUUUAAGUUCUUGCUACAAAAUUAAUGCUUGCCUAGAAGAAUUUUAUAUGUAUUCAGUGCAUAGUAUGUCUAUAAAAUCUAUUUCUAAAAUUAACAUUACUGUCUAUGGAAGAGAAUCUUCAACCUAAAAUUCAGAUAUUAGAAAAUUCAUUGACCUCUGAAGCAUUUUUCAAAAGAAAAAGUAGAAAUGAUUAUGUUGGCUCAAUAUUAAUAUGACUUACAACUAUACAUAAUGUUUUUUACUUAUAGUCCCAAGUUCAUGCUUUACAAAGAAUCAAGUCAAAAUUUGUUUCCCAUACUGUAAAUUUGUUUUAUUAUACUGUAUAAUUGAAGAAAGGAGUUUUACAAAGAUAUUUUACAUUAUAGGAAUACUCUAAUGAAAUAAUGCUUUAUAGUUAAUUUUUUAAAAAUCCCAAAACUCUAUAACAUGCCCCAUUUGAGUCAGAAUGCUGUAUCAUUGAAAUUUUGAAGGUAAAUGAACAAAUCAAGUGUUUCUGCUUGGUUUCCCAGCCUUGGGGUAAACUCAGGCCUAUCCAUCCUGAAAAUGAGAAGAAAGAAAAAAAAAAUAUUAUGUAUAUUAUACCCAGAGUAAAUUUAAAAAUGACCAAUGGCAUUCCUA